CAAGAGCUGGGGGAAAGGCAUCUUCUGGGCUGCUAGCUUCUGCUGCUGCUGAACCAAGUGGCUUCAGGCAGAUGGCAGGCUCUCAGGCCUUGGGAAGAGCACACAGAAAGUCAUCUCCAUGAGCCCCGAGCCACACACCAUGUCCUCCUCACAGCAGUGGUCUCCAAAGCCAGAGGAGGCUGAGCACCAGAAUGACAAGUCUCCAUAGUCUGGCAACAGGCGUCCUUCUCAGCAGGCCCUACAGAAGCCAAAGGAGGAAUACUUCCAUGGACCAGGCCCAGCUUCCCAGGUGCCCCAAUCCCUGAGAUCCCUGACCCUCCAGACAUGAUCAAGUCCUUGGCAGGAUGUACAAGGUGUUCCAUGCAGGUCUUCAGGGUGUCUUCAGGGUCAUCCCCCUGCCCCU
Long non-coding RNA from Microtus oregoni (creeping vole), 403 nucleotides. RefSeq lists it as uncharacterized. NCBI's taxonomy places the organism in Eukaryota, Metazoa, Chordata, Mammalia, Rodentia, Cricetidae. The record is from RefSeq and is a predicted model, not a curated record. The transcript is spliced from 3 exons.